Molecule: long non-coding RNA, 977 nt
Organism: Lotus japonicus
Lineage: Eukaryota; Viridiplantae; Streptophyta; Magnoliopsida; Fabales; Fabaceae
Exons: 3
Source: RefSeq, a predicted model, not a curated record
UCCCAAUUCUACUAUAUAAUUGCGAAAUCUGAAGGCAAUCUUCACACCAUUCUUAUCCCAACCCUUUACUCAUGAUUUUUUGUUCACAUGGUGAUGCUUAUCAUGAUUGUUUUUUUUUUCUUCUUUUCAGAGUGAGGCUUAACAACCAUGGGCGAGGCCACGAGGAUUCAUAUAUAUGAUAAUGAAUCUGAAUGUUUGCAUGCGUUUUUACUUGCUUCUGGUUGUAUAUCGUAGCAUUUCUCUUAUUUUUCUUAUUUAUGUUACUCCUUUUCAUCCUUAUAUCUGAUUAGUUGCAAUUUACUGAGAAAUUCCUUGAUUCGUUUGGCUAUAGAAGUUGAGACGUUAGUAAGAUACUAUUGUGUUCUACUCCUGUAAUUCUCUUUAGUUUUGAUGAUCAUUCUCAAUUAUGCAUUUAGCAUAAUGAUGGCAGGGUGAUAAAGAAAAAAGCAAGAUUAAUAAUGCCAGAGUUGAAAGGAAGCAAUUUUUUUAACACUUUUCUGCUAGACUUUUUCCAAACAUUGUCACGAAAAGAAGGGUUUCAAUAGGUUGAAGGUUGACGGGAUGAAAGAUGAUCGCCGGUGCCCAGUGGUUUUACAAACUGAAUCCAUCAUCUUUAAGAUUGUCUGCUAAUCUCCCUGCACAUAACAAUGCCCAUGAAGUCAAUCCUGCAAAUGCUGAUAAGGACAACCCAAAUGAUCAAAAUAAGAGUGAUGAAGAAUAGUGGAAAUGAUCUCACAAAUAAUUUAGAAGUAGUCUUCAAAUUAAGAAUAAACCUAUGUUUAAUAAGAGCCUUUUUUAUUUCUUUUUUCAUUGAGUGAUGAGUUUUUUUAUAUGAUAAAUUUUUUUUAUUUGAAUGAAUAAUAAUGAAAGUCAUUUUUAUCUCAUGACACGUUACCUAUUUGCCUGAAGUUGUGUUCUUAUUUGUAUUGUACUUGAAAGUGACUCACUUGAUAAUUGUACGUAAUUUUAGUUAAGGG